AUGAGUGGUGAACUCUUUCAAAGAAGUAUGGCCAUGAAUCCAAAUUUGAACACAAAAGAAAAUCAGAUCAUUGAGAAGUAUGCUCCAAAUACGUCCUGUGAUUCAGAUCCUGGAGCAGACGUCUCGGCUGAUUUCUGGGACAAAGCCUGUGCAAGUAGUAGUAUUGUGCAUCAUGUUUUAGAAGGAAACCAGUAUGUUCAGGCUGUGUCCAGGUUGCUUCCUGCAACCUCCCCCUGCAAACUCCUGUCUGCCUGCAAACAGGGUAGAAGCUGGAUUUUAGCACAGUUCCAAAUUGCAGUUCAAGGUGAAUGA
RNAcentral lists this long non-coding RNA (312 nucleotides) under Apteryx haastii (Great spotted kiwi). RNAcentral's name for it is "lncRNA (ENSAHAG00000005246.1)". The record is from RNAcentral. Lineage: Eukaryota; Metazoa; Chordata; Aves; Apterygiformes; Apterygidae.